This 472-nucleotide ribosomal RNA is filed under the name uncultured bacterium. RNAcentral describes it as "partial 16S ribosomal RNA". It matches the Rfam family "Bacterial small subunit ribosomal RNA", at positions 28 to 507 of the family's 1533-position model. The record is from RNAcentral.
GACGAACGCUGGCGGCGUGCUUAACACAUGCAAGUCGAACGCUGAAGCUUGGUGCUUGCACUGGGUGGAUGAGUGGCGAACGGGUGAGUAAUACGUGAGUAACCUGCCCUUGACUCUGGGAUAAGCCUGGGAAACUGGGUCUAAUACUGGAUACGACAUGUCACCGCAUGGUGGUGUGUGGAAAGGGUUUUACUGGUUUUGGAUGGGCUCACGGCCUAUCAGCUUGUUGGUGGGGUAAUGGCUCACCAAGGCGACGACGGGUAGCCGGCCUGAGAGGGUGACCGGCCACACUGGGACUGAGACACGGCCCAGACUCCUACGGGAGGCAGCAGUGGGGAAUAUUGCACAAUGGGCGGAAGCCUGAUGCAGCGACGCCGCGUGAGGGGUGACGGCCUUCGGGUUGUAAACCUCUUUCAGCACGGAAGAAGCGAAAGUGACGGUACGUGCAGAAGAAGCGCCGGCUAACUACGUG